UGUAGAUGUAGAUAUGAGUCACUAACUUAGACAUGAUUGCUCAAGUAGAGAAUUUCUUCAAGAGUCAGUGACUAAACAGAGUUUAGACAAAGAAGAGUAAAAAGCUGAAGUCUUAAUCUUAAGGCAUUCCUAUAUUUAAGAAGCCAGAGAAAGAAUCAAGAUCAAGGAAUAUCAGCAAGUCAUGGGAAAAUGAACCUGAGGAACAGAACAGGUGGAAAAGCUGCAAGAAAGGAUAAAAAAUAAGGAGGAUUCAAUGCUGAGAAAGAAUCCUGAAGCUGCUGCUGCUGCUGCUAAGCCACUUCAGUCGUGUCUGACUCUGUGCGACCCCAUAGACGGCAGCCCACCAGGCUCCCGCAUCCCUGGGAUGCUCCAGGCAAGAACACUGGAGUGAGUUGCCAUUUCCUUCUCCAAUGCGUGAAAGUGAAAAGUGAAAGAGAAGUCGUUCAGUUGUGUCCGAUUCUAUCCUGAAGCUAGAGAUGCUUAAAUCAUCUCCACACUACUCACCACCUCCCAUUCCCAAAGUGAUGAGCAUGUAUCUUCUACAAUACCUCAAGUGAGAGUAAACUCACUACUUGUAGCUAUUUGAAGUUUUUCUUUCCAUCAAGCAAAAAGCUGAUUUUCUAUAGCUUUCUCUUAUUGAUCUUUGGAUUAAUUACUGACAUUCUUCCAAUAUCUAUAGACAGUUGUAAUCUUAUCCAGGCUAAAAUCUCCUUUUCCCUCAAUAUUUCCUCAUAAGAUAUAUAUAUAUAUAUAUGUAUAUAUAUAUAUAUUUUAUUCAAGAAGAUGAUUGAAUUGGCGGUGGAUCAUGAGGCAGAGUAAUUUAUCAUCCCUUUGGACAUCACCACUUCCCUUUACAGACUUUCUAAUCUAUCAUAUUACUGAUAAAUUAUAAAGAAUGAUGAAGAUUGUCAGUGAAAAAUGUC
RNAcentral lists this long non-coding RNA (923 nucleotides) under Capra hircus (goat). RNAcentral's name for it is "lncRNA (ENSCHIG00000005848.1)". The record is from RNAcentral. Lineage: Eukaryota; Metazoa; Chordata; Mammalia; Artiodactyla; Bovidae.